Molecule: long non-coding RNA, 1613 nt
Filed under: Ficedula albicollis (Collared flycatcher)
Lineage: Eukaryota; Metazoa; Chordata; Aves; Passeriformes; Muscicapidae
Description: lncRNA (ENSFALG00000027796.1)
Source: RNAcentral
CCAGGUUCAGGGAGCAGGAUCCAGGCUCAGGGAGCAGGAUCCAGGUUCAGGGAGCAGGAUCCAGGCUCAGGGAGCAGGAUCCAGGUUCAGGGAGCAGGAUCCAGGCUCAGGGAGCAGGAUCCAGGUUCAGGGAGCAGGAUCCAGGCUCAGGGAGCAGGAUCCAGGUUCAGGGAGCAGGAUCCAGGCUCAGGGAGCAGGAUCCAGGUUCAGGGAGCAGGAUCCAGGCUCAGGGAGCAGGAUCCAGGUUCAGGGAGCAGGAUCCGGGUGUGGGAGCAGGAUCCAGAUGUAGGAGCAGGAUCCAGGUGUAGGAGCAGGAUCCAGGUUCAGGGAGCAGGAUCCAGGUUGAGGGAGCAGGAUCCAGCUCCUCUGGAGCAGACAGAGCUGUUGUGCUGUGCCUUUGUUGGGGAGCAGCCAGGUGUAAGUCAGUGCUGCCAUUCCCAGAGCUGGCAGCAGCUCCAAGAGGUGCCAGAUCCAGCUGCAAUUCCCUGUGUUUGGAGUCCAGUGUCAAUGUGCAGAUUUGCUGUGACAUUCCCCAUGGCCUCAGCCCCCAAACAGGCACCAGGAGCUCUCCAGAGCUCCCCUUGGUCCCUGGAAUGGCUUUUGCAGCUCUGGCACCCCAAGGCUGCAGGGAUUUGGGUGUUGAAGAGAUCAGGGAUGGAUCAGAAAAUUCCAGAAUCCCAGACUGGUUUGGGUUGGGAGGGACCUCAGAUCCCACCCAGUGCCAGCCCUGCCGUGGGGACACCUCCCACUGUCCCAGGCUGCUCCAGCCCCAGUGUCCAGCCUGGCCUUGGAUGGAGCUGCAGGAAACAUGGAGAGAAAAUAUUCCCGUGGCAGGGAGGGACAGCACACAGGGAAUGGCUGCAGAGUAGGGUUUGAUGGGAUACUGGGAAUCAGGAAUCCCAGGUGUUUAUACCCAGGUGUUUAUAUCCAGGUAUUUAUAUUCAGGUGUUUAUUUCCAGGUGUUUCUAUCCAGGUGUUUCUAUCCAGGUGUUUAUAUCUAGGUAUUUAUUUCCUGGUCUUUCUAUCCAGGUGUUUAUUCCCAUAUGUUUAUAUCCAGGUAUUUAUAUUCAGGUGUUUUCUCUCCAGGUGUUUAUUUCCAGGUGUUCCUAUCCAGGUGUUUCUAUCCCAGUGUUUCUACCCAGGUGUUUUUAUCCAGGAAUUAAUUUCCAGGUGUUUCUAUCCAGGUGUUUCUAUCCAGGUAUUUAUUUCCUGGUCUUUCUAUCCAGGUGUUUAUUCCCAUAUGUUUAUAUCCAGGUAUUUAUAUUCAGGUGUUUUCUCUCCAGGUGUUUAUUUCCAGGUGUUCCUAUCCAGGUGUUUCUAUCCCAGUGUUUCUACCCAGGUGUUUUUAUCCAGGAAUUAAUUUCCAGGUGUUUCUAUCCAGGUGUUUCUAUCCAGGUAUUUAUUUCCUGGUCUUUCUAUCCAGGUGUUUAUUCCCAUAUGUUUAUUUCCAGGUAUUUAUAGUCAGGUGUUUCUCUCCAGGUGUUUAUUUCCAGGUGUUUCUAUCCAGGUGUUUAUUUCCAGGUGUUUUUAUCCAGGUAUUUAUAUCCAGGUAUUUAUUCCCAGGUGUUUCUCUCCAGGUGUUUCUAUCCAGAUAUUUAUUUCCGGGUGUUUCU